Gallus gallus (chicken) is the source of this 1594-nucleotide long non-coding RNA. The record is from Ensembl. Lineage: Eukaryota; Metazoa; Chordata; Aves; Galliformes; Phasianidae.
GGUGACAGCGGGGUGGGCGGAGCCAAGCCCUAUGGCGACUGCAUCCCUGUGGGCGGGGCAAACGGUUACCAUGGCAACACUAAGAUGGGCAGAGCCAAUCCUAUGGCAACAGCGUCCCUGUGGGUGGAGCUAAGGGUCACCAUAGCAACACAUGGGGGUGGAGCCAAUCCUUUGGCUACAGCAUCCCUGUGGGCGGGGCUAAGGGUCACCAUGACAACACUAAGAUGGGCGGAGCCAAGCCGUACGGUGACAGUAUCCCUGUGGGCGGGGCUAAGAGUCACCAUGGCAACACAUGGGGGCGGAGCCAAGCCCUAUUGGCGACAAUAUCAGUGUGGGCGGGGCUAACGGUCACCAUGGCAACACAAGGGGGCGGAGCCAAGCCCUAUCGGUGACAGUAGCUCUGGGGGCGGGGCUAAUGGUCACCAUGGCAACACUAAGAUGGGCAGAGCCAAUCCUAUGGCAACAGCAUCCCUGUGGGUGGGGCUGAGUGUUACCAUGGCAACAUUAAAUGGGCGGAGCCAAUCCUAUUGGUGACAGAAUCCCUGUGGGCGGGGCUAAGGGUCACCAUGGCAGCACUAAGAUGGGCGGAGCCAAUCCCGACGGUGACAUUAUCCCUGUGGGCGGGGCUAAGCGUCACCAUGGCAACACUAAGAUGGGCGGAGCCAAUCCCUAUGGCAACAGCACCCCUGUGGGCGGGGCUAAGGGUUACCAUGGCAACAUUAAAGGGGCGGAGCCAAGCCCUAUUGGCGACAGUAUCUCUAUGGGCGGGGCUAAGGGUCACCAUGGCAGCACUAAGAUGGGCGGAGCCAAUCCCUAUGGUGACAUUAUCCCUGUGGGCGGGGCUAAGGUUCACCAUGGCAACACUAAGAUGGGCGGAGCCAAUCCCUAUGGCAACAGCACCCCUGUGGGCGGGGCUAAGGGUCACCAUGACAACACAAGGGGGCGGAGCCAAGCCCUAUUGGCGACAGUAUCUCUAUGGGCGGGGCUAAGGGUCACCAUGGCAGCACUAAGAUGGGCGAAGCCAAUCCUACGGUGACAUUAUCCCUGUGGGCGGGGCUAAAGGUCACCAUGGCAACACUAAGAUGGGCAGAGCCAAUCCUAUGGCAACAGCGUCCCUGUGGGCGGAGCUAAGGGUCACCAUAGCAACACAUGGGGGUGGAGCCAAUCCUUUGGCUACAGCAUACCUGUGGGCGGGGCUAAGGGUCACCAUGACAACACUAAGAUGGGCGGAGCCAAGCCGUACGGUGACAGUAUCCCUGUGGGCGGGGCUAAGAGUCACCAUGACAACACAUGGGGGCGGAGCCAAGCCCUAUUGGCGACAAUAUCAGUGUGGGCGGGGCUAACGGUCACCAUGGCAACACAAGGGGGCGGAGCAAAGCCCUAUCGGUGACAGUAGCUCUGGGGGCGGGGCUAAUGGCCACCAUGGCAACACUAAGAUGGGCAGAGCCAACCCCUAUGGAAACACUAUCCCUGUGGGCAGGGCUAAAGGUUACUAUGGCAACACUAAGAUGGGCGGAGCCAAUCCUAUGGCAACAGCACCCCUGUGGGCGGGGGUAAAGGUCACCAUGGCAACACUAAGAUGGGCGGAGCCAAU